RNAcentral lists this ribosomal RNA (2900 nucleotides) under Klebsiella quasipneumoniae. Its description in RNAcentral is "23S ribosomal RNA". It matches the Rfam family "Bacterial large subunit ribosomal RNA". The record is from RNAcentral. Lineage: Bacteria; Pseudomonadati; Pseudomonadota; Gammaproteobacteria; Enterobacterales; Enterobacteriaceae.
UUAAGCGACUAAGCGUACACGGUGGAUGCCCUGGCAGUCAGAGGCGAUGAAGGACGUGCUAAUCUGCGAAAAGCGUCGGUAAGGUGAUAUGAACCGUUAUAACCGGCGAUGUCCGAAUGGGGAAACCCAGUGCAAUUCGUUGCACUAUCGUUAACUGAAUACAUAGGUUAACGAGGCGAACCGGGGGAACUGAAACAUCUAAGUACCCCGAGGAAAAGAAAUCAACCGAGAUUCCCCCAGUAGCGGCGAGCGAACGGGGAGCAGCCCAGAGUCUGAAUCAGCUUGUGUGUUAGUGGAACGGUCUGGAAAGUCCGACGGUACAGGGUGAUAGUCCCGUACACCAAAAUGCACAGGCUGUGAACUCGAAGAGUAGGGCGGGACACGUGGUAUCCUGUCUGAAUAUGGGGGACCAUCCUCCAAGGCUAAAUACUCCUGACUGACCGAUAGUGAACCAGUACCGUGAGGGAAAGGCGAAAAGAACCCCGGCGAGGGGAGUGAAAAAGAACCUGAAACCGUGUACGUACAAGCAGUGGGAGCACCUUUAUGGUGUGACUGCGUACCUUUUGUAUAAUGGGUCAGCGACUUAUAUUCUGUAGCAAGGUUAACCGUAUAGGGGAGCCGCAGGGAAACCGAGUCUUAACUGGGCGUUAAGUUGCAGGGUAUAGACCCGAAACCCGGUGAUCUAGCCAUGGGCAGGUUGAAGGUUGGGUAACACUAACUGGAGGACCGAACCGACUAAUGUUGAAAAAUUAGCGGAUGACUUGUGGCUGGGGGUGAAAGGCCAAUCAAACCGGGAGAUAGCUGGUUCUCCCCGAAAGCUAUUUAGGUAGCGCCUCGUGAACUCAUCUUCGGGGGUAGAGCACUGUUUCGGCUAGGGGGUCAUCCCGACUUACCAACCCGAUGCAAACUACGAAUACCGAAGAAUGUUAUCACGGGAGACACACGGCGGGUGCUAACGUCCGUCGUGAAGAGGGAAACAACCCAGACCGCCAGCUAAGGUCCCAAAGUCAUGGUUAAGUGGGAAACGAUGUGGGAAGGCACAGACAGCCAGGAUGUUGGCUUAGAAGCAGCCAUCAUUUAAAGAAAGCGUAAUAGCUCACUGGUCGAGUCGGCCUGCGCGGAAGAUGUAACGGGGCUAAACCAUGCACCGAAGCUGCGGCAGCGACACGAUGUGUUGUUGGGUAGGGGAGCGUUCUGUAAGCCUGCGAAGGUGACCUGUGAGGGUUGCUGGAGGUAUCAGAAGUGCGAAUGCUGACAUAAGUAACGAUAAAGCGGGUGAAAAGCCCGCUCGCCGGAAGACCAAGGGUUCCUGUCCAACGUUAAUCGGGGCAGGGUGAGUCGACCCCUAAGGCGAGGCCGAAAGGCGUAGUCGAUGGGAAACAGGUUAAUAUUCCUGUACUUGGUGUUACUGCGAAGGGGGGACGGAGAAGGCUAUGUUAGCCGGGCGACGGUUGUCCCGGUUUAAGCAUGUAGGCUGGUUAUCCAGGCAAAUCCGGAUAAUCAAGGCUGAGGUGUGAUGACGAGGCACUACGGUGCUGAAGUAACAAAUGCCCUGCUUCCAGGAAAAGCCUCUAAGCAUCAGGUAACAUCAAAUCGUACCCCAAACCGACACAGGUGGUCAGGUAGAGAAUACCAAGGCGCUUGAGAGAACUCGGGUGAAGGAACUAGGCAAAAUGGUGCCGUAACUUCGGGAGAAGGCACGCUGGUGUGUAGGUGAAGCCCCUGCGGGUGGAGCUGAGACCAGUCGAAGAUACCAGCUGGCUGCAACUGUUUAUUAAAAACACAGCACUGUGCAAACACGAAAGUGGACGUAUACGGUGUGACGCCUGCCCGGUGCCGGAAGGUUAAUUGAUGGGGUUAUCCGUAAGGAGAAGCUCUUGAUCGAAGCCCCGGUAAACGGCGGCCGUAACUAUAACGGUCCUAAGGUAGCGAAAUUCCUUGUCGGGUAAGUUCCGACCUGCACGAAUGGCGUAAUGAUGGCCAGGCUGUCUCCACCCGAGACUCAGUGAAAUUGAACUCGCUGUGAAGAUGCAGUGUACCCGCGGCAAGACGGAAAGACCCCGUGAACCUUUACUAUAGCUUGACACUGAACAUUGAGCCUUGAUGUGUAGGAUAGGUGGGAGGCUUUGAAGCGUGGACGCCAGUCUGCGUGGAGCCAACCUUGAAAUACCACCCUUUAAUGUUUGAUGUUCUAACGUUGGCCCCUUAUCGGGGUUGCGGACAGUGUCUGGUGGGUAGUUUGACUGGGGCGGUCUCCUCCCAAAGCGUAACGGAGGAGCACGAAGGUUAGCUAAUCCUGGUCGGACAUCAGGAGGUUAGUGCAAUGGCAUAAGCUAGCUUGACUGCGAGCGUGACGGCGCGAGCAGGUGCGAAAGCAGGUCAUAGUGAUCCGGUGGUUCUGAAUGGAAGGGCCAUCGCUCAACGGAUAAAAGGUACUCCGGGGAUAACAGGCUGAUACCGCCCAAGAGUUCAUAUCGACGGCGGUGUUUGGCACCUCGAUGUCGGCUCAUCACAUCCUGGGGCUGAAGUAGGUCCCAAGGGUAUGGCUGUUCGCCAUUUAAAGUGGUACGCGAGCUGGGUUUAGAACGUCGUGAGACAGUUCGGUCCCUAUCUGCCGUGGGCGCUGGAGAAUUGAGGGGGGCUGCUCCUAGUACGAGAGGACCGGAGUGGACGCAUCACUGGUGUUCGGGUUGUCAUGCCAAUGGCACUGCCCGGUAGCUAAAUGCGGAAGAGAUAAGUGCUGAAAGCAUCUAAGCACGAAACUUGCCCCGAGAUGAGUUCUCCCUGAGACUAUAAGUCUCCUGAAGGAACGUUGAAGACGACGACGUUGAUAGGCCGGGUGUGUAAGCGCAGCGAUGCGUUGAGCUAACCGGUACUAAUGAACCGUGAGGCUUAACCUU